Molecule: ribosomal RNA, 242 nt
Filed under: uncultured bacterium
Lineage: Bacteria
Description: partial 16S ribosomal RNA
Rfam family: Bacterial small subunit ribosomal RNA
Source: RNAcentral
CUAGCGUUGUUCGGAAUUACUGGGCGUAAAGCGCACGUAGGCGGCUUUGUAAGUUAGAGGUGAAAGCCCGGGGCUCAACUCCGGAAUUGCCUUUAAGACUGCAUCGCUAGAAUUGUGGAGAGGUAAGUGGAAUUCCGAGUGUAGAGGUGAAAUUCGUAGAUAUUCGGAAGAACACCAGUGGCGAAGGCGACUUACUGGACACAUAUUGACGCUGAGGUGCGAAAGCGUGGGGAGCAAACAGG